UACGUGUAUAAGAACACAACCUACACGCCAGUCGGGCUGGUUCCGAAGGUAACCGCCCUAGCUGUAAUUCCACCUGCACCGGAAGUAGUACCGCUAUGGUGCAAUCCUUUUUUCGUGUCGUUUGUCGUCAUGGCGACCAUGGCCACGGUAGCUGUUUUAGCAGUCAACUGGGACAGCAGAGAACAAACUGAUGACGAUAAAGAAGACGAGAACAAGAUGUCUUCCGACUUGAGGAUCUGCCUGAUGAAGGAACAAGGCGCGCCUUCAGCAACGUUCCACCCCCUGGCGAGUUGCGCCGAAAAUGA
Molecule: long non-coding RNA, 305 nt
Organism: Nematostella vectensis (starlet sea anemone)
Lineage: Eukaryota; Metazoa; Cnidaria; Anthozoa; Actiniaria; Edwardsiidae
Exons: 3
Source: RefSeq, a predicted model, not a curated record